Molecule: microRNA precursor, 60 nt
Filed under: Callithrix jacchus (white-tufted-ear marmoset)
Lineage: Eukaryota; Metazoa; Chordata; Mammalia; Primates; Cebidae
Description: precursor X_4605 miRNA
Rfam family: mir-17 microRNA precursor family
About the family: This family represents the microRNA (miRNA) precursor mir-17, family, which includes mir-20, mir-91, and mir-103. miRNAs are transcribed as ~70nt precursors (modelled here) and subsequently processed by the Dicer enzyme to give a ~22nt product. In this case the mature sequence comes from the 3' arm of the precursor.
Source: RNAcentral
CAAAGUGCUCAUAGUGCAGGUAGUUUUGGCAUGACUCUACUGUAGUGUGGGCACUUCUAG